AACGAACGCUGGCGGCAUGCCUAACACAUGCAAGUCGAACGAGACCUUCGGGUCUAGUGGCGCACGGGUGCGUAACGCGUGGGAACCUGCCCUUAGGUUCGGAAUAACUCCCCGAAAGGGGUGCUAAUACCGGAUAAUGUCUUCGGACCAAAGAUUUAUCGCCUUUGGAUGGGCCCGCGUUGGAUUAGCUAGUUGGUAGGGUAAAAGCCUACCAAGGCGACGAUCCAUAGCUGGUCUGAGAGGAUGAUCAGCCACACUGGGACUGAGACACGGCCCAGACUCCUACGGGAGGGAGCAGUGGGGAAUAUUGGACAAUGGGCGAAAGGCUGAUCCAGCAAUGCCGCGUGAGUGAUGAAGGCCUUAGGGUUGUAAAGCUCUUUUACCCGGGAUGAUAAUGACAGGAACGGGAGAAUAAGCCCCGGCUAACUCCGUG
Molecule: ribosomal RNA, 433 nt
Filed under: uncultured bacterium
Lineage: Bacteria
Description: partial 16S ribosomal RNA
Rfam family: Bacterial small subunit ribosomal RNA
Source: RNAcentral